UAAAAUUCUAUUAAAUUGAAGUAGUAUUUGUUAAGUUCUUGAAAUUUAAAAAAUUUGGCGGUGUUUUAGUCUUUUCAGAGGAACCUGUUCUGUAAACGAUAGUCCACGAUUAAAUUUACUUAGUUUAAAAAUUUGUAUAUCGUUGUUAUUAAAUAUUUUAAAAGAAUUAUAAUAUUUAAGAAUUUAUAUUAAAAAGAAUUUCAAAUCAAGGUGCAGUUUAUAAUUAAGAAGAAAUGGGUUACAAUAAAAUUAUUUAUUAUGAAUUUUAAUUUUAAAUGUUUUUUGAAAGAGGAUUUGAAAGUAAUAAAAUUUAUAUAAAUUUUAUGAUUUUAGCUCUCAAAA
This 342-nucleotide ribosomal RNA is filed under the name Derovatellus lentus. Its description in RNAcentral is "partial 12S ribosomal RNA". Lineage: Eukaryota; Metazoa; Arthropoda; Insecta; Coleoptera; Dytiscidae. The record is from RNAcentral.